GAGGCAGUGGUUCCAUUGAAGGAGUACCCCUAACUGUCAGAAGCCUGGGCGGUCAGGAUGGGGUGCUGUUGCUUGGGCUGCGGGGGGCGUUCAGUUGCCCACAGUGUAUCUCAGGGUCUCACCAACCAUCCAAGCAUGGUAGGCUGUGGCUGGCACCCAGGGUUGUGUGGCUGGGGAGGUGGUCUCCACAGUUCCCUCCCUGCCCUCCCAGGGCCCCCAUCCAUGCAGGUAACCAUCGAGGAUGUGCAGGCACAGACAGGCGGAACGGCCCAAUUCGAGGCUAUCAUUGAGGGCGACCCACAGCCCUCGGUGACCUGGUACAAGGACAGCGUCCAGCUGGUGGACAGCACCCGGCUUAGCCAGCAGCAAGAAGGCACCACAUACUCCCUGGUGCUGAGGCAUGUGGCCUCGAAGGAUGCCGGCGUUUACACCUGCCUGGCCCAAAACGCUGGUGGCCAGGUACUCUGCAAGGCAGAGCUGCUGGUGCUUGGGGGGGACAAUGAGCUGGACUCAGAGAAGCAAAGCCACCGGAGGAAGCUGCACUCCUUCUAUGAGGUCAAGGAGGAGAUUGGAAG
This 575-nucleotide long non-coding RNA is filed under the name Pan troglodytes (chimpanzee). RNAcentral's name for it is "long non-coding RNA NONPTRT000706". The record is from RNAcentral. Lineage: Eukaryota; Metazoa; Chordata; Mammalia; Primates; Hominidae.